CUUGGAAGCCGCAGGAACCAAUCUUGUGGACAAACGAGAAAAUACUUUUGUCUACAGAAGGCAGCAAUCCUACAUAAUUAUGGAGGUCUCUGUCUGACUUAAGACAGCUAACUAAGUCUGAUAGUUCCCCUCCAUAAACC
This 140-nucleotide small nucleolar RNA is filed under the name Jaculus jaculus (lesser Egyptian jerboa). Its description in RNAcentral is "Small Cajal body specific RNA 3 (ENSJJAG00000008687.1)". It matches the Rfam family "Small Cajal body specific RNA 3". Rfam says of the family: scaRNAs are a specific class of small nuclear RNAs which localise to the Cajal bodies and guide the modification of RNA polymerase II transcribed spliceosomal RNAs U1, U2, U4, U5 and U12. Lineage: Eukaryota; Metazoa; Chordata; Mammalia; Rodentia; Dipodidae. The record is from Rfam by way of RNAcentral.